Molecule: long non-coding RNA, 221 nt
Filed under: Homo sapiens (human)
Lineage: Eukaryota; Metazoa; Chordata; Mammalia; Primates; Hominidae
Description: LHRI_LNC413.1
Source: RNAcentral
GUCCAAUCAAGGAAACAGAAACCACUCGAGUAUUUAAAUAAGAAGGUGAUAUGGUUAGGCUUUGUGUCCCCACCCAAAUCUCAUCUUGAAUUGUAAUCCCCAUAAUCCCCAUGUGUCAAGGGAGAGACCAGGUGGAGGUAAUUGAAUCAUGGGGACGGUUCCCCCAUGCUGUUCUCAUGACAGUGAGUGAGUUCUCAUGAGAUCUGAUGGUUUAAUAAGGG